UGGCUUCUGGAGUCUUCUAGAUGGUAGAAAAUUGCGCGGUGCGUUGAUAUCUCUAUGUAGUCCUGACAUGUGGGUCUUUCUUCCUUACUUCCUAAUAACCCCCUACAGAAAUAGAUAAACAACAAAACUCGUGGAAUUCUGUCAGAUCAAACCCUAAUUCUAGGUGUUGUUUGUAUAUUGGUCCUUUCUCUUGUUUAUUUGAUAAUUAAAAUUGAUACUUAAGAACCGUCAAUAAAUACCCCCAUACUUAGGCUUUUACUCGUCCUCGAGAAAAGGAUGGUUAAGAACAAUAUCUGGGGUAAAACAUUUUUAAAAUAUUCUCUUCAUAACUGCAGGGUGUUAAAAUCCAAUGUGAACUAUAGUCAGGGAAGUAUAUGGUUUAGAGUAGAGAUCCUUUCUUCUCAAUCCUAUCACUUGGAGUUUUUGUAUAUUUUUGAAAGAAAGUUAGCAUACCUUUUAUCCUCAUAGGUCUUCUCAGAUCACUCAUUAUCUUUUAUAUAUCUUACUGAGGCUUUAAUUUGCAAAAAUUCUCAAGCAUACUUACCUUGUAUUUAUUGCCUGAUCAAAAUGGGAUCUGAGGAGGGGAAUGUCAUACUCUUAGAUCAAAGACUUUGGAAAUUAAAAUCUUUGUCAACUCUUGCUGGCAUAUUGCUUAUUAGAGGGACCAUGGGCUAUCAUUUUCUUUUUUCUUCUCUUUUUUUAAGUGGAUACCGAGGUACCCCUAAUUCUACUGCUGGACACUUGUCCUUUUUUUCUGCGAGGUUAUCGAGCACUUGCUCCUUUUUAGUUCCUCGAAAUAUCUUUAUUUUUUGCAUAGCCCAUGCCUCUAAUGCAAUAAUACUUCGGAAGAGUGAAUCUUUCUGAAUAAAUGUCUUGAUCUUAGGAGCAUGAUAAAUCUCUCAACAAGGGUCUAACUCAUUUUGAACAAACUCAAUACAGAGUAGAUAGCUUUUAUAAUCAUAAUUAAUAUUUUCAGUUUUUAUCAGGCAUAUAAAACACUGAGGAUGGUAGCUAGAAUUUUGAAGAUUUGAAAUAAAUUCUCCAAGCAACAAUGAUAUCAAGAAUAAGAAACUCAUACUCUACCAUAUUCUAUACUGACUUUAAGUAACACAGGGUUUUAAAAUGAUUUUAUAAUAGUUGCAAGUUUUCAGGAAAUAUCACAGAGUGAGAUUAACCAUGAUUAGAAACAUUUUAAUCUUUAUCAUGUCAGAAACAAUAUUCUGCAUAAUCCAAGAUAUGUGUAUGUGUAAAGUAAAGUGUGCAGAGUAUGUACCUGAAUUGUGGAGUGGUGUCGUCGAAGUGUGUUUGGCGUGUCGAGGGAUCUCCCCCAUACUUGUUUUCUGCUUUCUUACACAAAAAUAAAGUAGACAUACAAGACAUAAUAAUAAUAAUACUCUUUAUUAAUCUUGAGGCAUUUAUUACAAAUAACUAGUAGCAAACUGAUGAUAAUAGUAAACCUAAACCGACUUUAAAGAUAGAUAACUAAGAUGCAUUGC
Molecule: long non-coding RNA, 1496 nt
Filed under: Sorghum bicolor (sorghum)
Lineage: Eukaryota; Viridiplantae; Streptophyta; Magnoliopsida; Poales; Poaceae
Description: long non-coding RNA (SBIC_LNC002681)
Source: RNAcentral